AAGAUAAUUAUGUGACUGUGUGCUGUUCAGCUGUGUUGUUACACAUUUUCUAGCUUUUUUUAAUACCUUGAAAGGGCCUUAACUGUGUAUUCUAACCUGAAUGUUACAUUGCUCCAGCCUUUUGUAAUAGUUCCGUGCUUUGCUGUAUUGAUUAAGCUUCCACUUCCAGUCCUUCCUGGGGAGGAGUAAUUUCCCACCUACCUGUCGGAGUGGUCACUGUGCAUUCUGUGUAUGGCAAUUGAUUCAGUCCCUCUUCAACCACGAGUCUGAUCUGUGGAACCAGAAAAAAAACCCAGCUUGAAGGGAUUUGCUACCUAUGGAGCUAAGCAAAUGAAGAAGUCAAAGCCACAAAACAAAACAAAAAAACAGGAAGAAUGGCCCACACUUGAGCUCAGACUUUCACAAGCUGUGGAUGUUUCCUCUGCUGCUCCAACUUGUUCAACAGCACGAAGGACAUUAUGUCUAUUUAAACAGUGUCUGCUGAGAACUGCUGGCACAGAACGAAGCUGGGACUGGGACUUUCCGCCUGUUCCUUAUGAAGAACUAUUGGCAAAGAAGGACGCUGCCGUCGGUGACUUGAUGCAGCAGUUAUGUGGAUGAGUUUUGUUGGCUUGGGCCUCUACUGUUCCUGGAGAAUGGGAACGGCAGAAACAUCCUCAAGAAGGGAAAAGCAGAGGGGAAAGUGGGAAAAGCUGCAGGGAUAAAAUGCACCGCAGUCACAGCCUUCAGCUGUGGCCCUAGGUAAGCCCUGAGCAAGCUGAGAUCAGGCGUGGAUUAAGAUUGGGUUAAACCUGUCUGGUUUAGCAAAUAGUGCUGGUAACUGAACGCUCCCUGAACUGAUCUUUGUUAGAGGGGGAAAGAAAGGCUUUUCUCAUUAAUGAGUGUGCCUCUGCAAACAGGAAACACCCUCAUGAACACCGGUAUAGGUGUGGGAGUGGGUGCUGUAAGCACGUAAUUUAAAUGUGAUAAAUGGUGCAUUCCCAACAGUCUUUGUUCCAACUUAUUAAAAUACGUGAAAACUUCAAA
This is a long non-coding RNA of Numida meleagris (helmeted guineafowl), 1026 nucleotides long. RefSeq lists it as uncharacterized. Lineage: Eukaryota; Metazoa; Chordata; Aves; Galliformes; Numididae. The transcript has 2 exons. The record is from RefSeq and is a predicted model, not a curated record.